Long non-coding RNA from Atta colombica, 679 nucleotides. RefSeq lists it as uncharacterized. Lineage: Eukaryota; Metazoa; Arthropoda; Insecta; Hymenoptera; Formicidae. The record is from RefSeq and is a predicted model, not a curated record. The transcript is spliced from 5 exons.
AAAAUUUCUUAAUGAAUUAAAAUGUAAAUCUACUAAAUAAUACUAGAAAUCUUUUCCAUUGAUAAUGUGCAUGAAUUGCUGCAGCAAGAAAAUGAAACAGUACAACAAAUUGAAAUGCAAAUACUUGGAAGUGUUGCAACAACAUCAGACCAAUAUUUCUUCGCAAACUGCUAAUAAAACAACCGCUUCUACUAAUUAUGUUAAAAUACUUUCCACAAACAAUCCACUACAAGGUCAAUCCUAGCAACUUUCAAUGUUUUCUUCCUGCACAUAGAAAGAAAAUUUAAACGUAUUCUCGCACUAUGGAAAUGUAGAAAAAACACUUCAGAACCAUGUUCAAGGUAUCUCUAUAUUAAAUGCUGCACGUAAAGACUUUUUCAAUGAGUCUCAUAAGAAAGCCUUCAUGCAUAUCGUUGUGGUUGAAGCAUUUAUUGCAGCACAAAAUAACAAUAUCAUGGAUGAAGCAUAAGUUACCGAUAAUAAAGAAUUGAUCAAACUCUGUCUUCAAGAAACUUUUCCAAAUAAAAGACAAUGGAUCGUACUCCGGCCUUAUUAUAUCUAGCAUUUUUGAAACAUAUCCGCGCCUUCUAGACUAUCAUGAUGCUUUUCGAGCUCUGAUCGUUUUGUCUCCAUUAAAUUCUUCAAGAAAAAAUGGAGUAUAAAGAAGAAAAAAUAAUGG